AUGACAUCAGGUUUAACUUCAAGAGAAAGCCAUUUUUUUGAAGAAGCAGUAGCCAUUCUGUUUGUUUAUUCUAUUUCCAAUUUAGAAUUUCCUCUCUUAUUUCAAUUUCAUCUGACUUUUGGAUUAUUUUAUGGAAUAGGCCUUGGUGUUGGUAGCAGCUGCGAGUUAACUUGGUAUAGUGUAACUCUUUACUAG
This is a non-coding RNA of Vicia faba (fava bean), 195 nucleotides long. The record is from the annotation of a GenBank genome assembly. NCBI's taxonomy places the organism in Eukaryota, Viridiplantae, Streptophyta, Magnoliopsida, Fabales, Fabaceae.